Molecule: non-coding RNA, 163 nt
Organism: Pelobates cultripes (western spadefoot toad)
Lineage: Eukaryota; Metazoa; Chordata; Amphibia; Anura; Pelobatidae
Source: the annotation of a GenBank genome assembly
GCAAUACUCUGGUAUUUUGGCAUCCUUUAUUUGUAUAUAUACGUGUGUGUAUAUAUACAAAUAAAGGAUGUGUGUGUGUGUCUGUGUGUAUAUAUAUAUAUAUAUAUAUAUAUAUAUAUAUAUAUAUAUACAAAUAAAGGAUGCCAAAAUACCAGAGUAUUGC